CAGUCGAACGAAACUUCUUUAUCACCGAGUGCUUGCACUCACCGAUACAUAGUUGAGUGGCGAACGGGUGAGUAACACGUGGGCAACCUGCCCAAAAGAGGGAGAUAACACUUGGAAACAGGUGCUAAUACCGCAUAACCAUAGUUACCGCAUGGUAACUAUGUAAAAGGUGGCUAUACUACCGCUUUUGGAUGGGCCCGCGGCGCAUUAGCUAGUUGGUAGGGUAAAGGCUUACCAAGGCAAUGAUGCGUAACCGAAUUGAGAGGUUGAUCGGCCACAUUGGGACUGAGACACGGCCCAAACUCCUACGGGAGGCAGCAGUAGGGAAUCUUCCACAAUGGGCGAAAGCCUGAUGGAGCAACGCCGCGUGGGUGAAGAAGGUCUUCGGAUCGUAAAACCCUGUUGUUAGAGAAGAAAGUGCGUGAGAGUAACUGUUCACGUUUCGACGGUAUCUAACCAGAAAGCCACGGCUAACUACGUGCCAGCAGCCGCGGUAAUACGUAGGUGGCAAGCGUUAUCCGGAUUUAUUGGGCGUAAAGGGAACGCAGGCGGUCUUUUAAGUCUGAUGUGAAAGCCUUCGGCUUAACCGGAGUAGUGCAUUGGAAACUGGGAGACUUGAGUGCAGAAGAGGAGAGUGGAACUCCAUGUGUAGCGGUGAAAUGCGUAGAUAUAUGGAAGAACACCAGUGGCGAAAGCGGCUCUCUGGUCUGUAACUGACGCUGAGGUUCGAAAGCGUGGGUAGCAAACAGGAUUAGAUACCCUGGUAGUCCACGCCGUANACGAUGAAUGCUAAGUGUUGGAGGGUNUCCGCCCUUCAGUGCUGCAGCUAACGCAAUAAGCAUUCCGCCUGGGGAGUA
RNAcentral lists this ribosomal RNA (857 nucleotides) under uncultured bacterium. RNAcentral's name for it is "bacterial SSU rRNA". It matches the Rfam family "Bacterial small subunit ribosomal RNA", at positions 59 to 882 of the family's 1533-position model. The record is from RNAcentral.